CGAGCACGCGCGUGUGGCAUAUCAAUAAGCGGAGGAAAAGAAACUAACAAGGAUUCCCUCAGUAACGGCGAGUGAAGCGGGAAGAGCUCAAAUUUGAAAUCUUCAAGGUUCUACCUUGACGAAUUGUAGUUUAAAGAAGUGUUUUCUGUUGGAGUUUUGGUAAAAGUUCUUUGGAAUAGGACAUCAUAGAGGGUGAGAAUCCCGUAUUUGACCAUUAUUUCCAACUUUGUGAUACACUUUCAAAGAGUCGGAUUGUUUGGGAAUGCAGUCCAAAAUGGGUGGUAAAUUUCAUCUAAAGCUAAAUAUUGGCGAGAGACCGAUAGCGAACAAGUACCGUGAGGGAAAGAUGAAAAGAACUUUGAAAAGAGAGUUAAACAGUACGUGAAAUUGUCAAAAGGGAAGCGUUUGACACCAGUGUUGUUUUUCUGAAAAUCAAUUAAAGAACUGUUUAUGCUAAGUUGUUUAGACUUUAUCAGCUAACUGUUUAGUUUUGAGCUUUUCUUUAAUGCACUUUUCAGUUAACAAGUCAGCAUCAAUUUCUUUUGCUGUAAAAAAGCUUGAGGAAGGUGGCUUGAGAUUCGUCUUAAGUGUUUAUAGCCUCUUGCCUAUGCAGUCGGAGAGAUUGAGGUCUGCAGCGUAGAUCCUUCGGGGCUAAAUGCAUUUGUGCUAAGUUAUAGCAUUUUAUAGACAACUUGUUGACUAUGAUUUGUCUUGUAGCUUACUCGCUUAUGUUAUUUUACCUACGCUUAGGAUGUUGAAGUCAUCGUAUCGCGC
RNAcentral lists this ribosomal RNA (774 nucleotides) under uncultured Neocallimastigales. RNAcentral's name for it is "partial large subunit ribosomal RNA". It matches the Rfam family "Eukaryotic large subunit ribosomal RNA", at positions 19 to 645 of the family's 3401-position model. Lineage: Eukaryota; Fungi; Neocallimastigomycota; Neocallimastigomycetes; Neocallimastigales. The record is from RNAcentral.